Molecule: long non-coding RNA, 778 nt
Organism: Jatropha curcas
Lineage: Eukaryota; Viridiplantae; Streptophyta; Magnoliopsida; Malpighiales; Euphorbiaceae
Source: RefSeq, a predicted model, not a curated record
GUUCAAUGAACCUCAUAUCCUUUUUCCGCUGUCUUCUUCAUCACCUGAUACACUACAAAAGCAAAGAAAGAUGAGAAUUCUCUGAUCAUGGCUCUGUCCUCACUCUCUCUUGUUGCUUCACAGUUCACCUACUUACAGUGAUAUUACAGGGAAAAUAUGACAGAGGAUAACCUAAUGUGGGCAAUAAUGGAGCUUGACAAAGCUUAUUCUCUAUCAAUUAUCGAUAGUACUGCCCUUCAAAAUUUUGGAAAUGAUUACAUUGCCCUUCCUUUCAGUGAAAUAGGCAGCAUUGUGAAGUGGAAAACUAGCAUAAUGGUGCCGGCAAAUCCUCAUUCUGAUAAACCAUGUAUCUGCAAGACCAUUAAAUAUUCCCUAAAGAAGAGGGAAUGCUAUUUCCACUUAUAAGGGAGUAGGAGUCAAGAGGACUAGAGGAACAGAGCUGUAAUAUAUGGGAUAUGGCAAUGUAAUCCAUAUAGGAGAGUCCACUUCUCUUAGCAUAUAUGUGGUGACAGAGAAGAGUUCCCCUUUCAAACUUCAUUUGUGUGUGAUAAUAGAUAGUUGGCUGUGAAAGUGACCCCACUGUCAAGUCUAUCAAUCUCUUACUAUUGCUAUUUGACAUUAAAAAAAGAAAAUAAUAAUGAAAAAAUCAUGUUUCAACAUUAUGGAUAAAUUAGAUAUAGAUGAGGUGAGUGAAGUGAGACAUGUCAUCGUGUUAUUUCUGUACUUUAAUUUUGCUGUGUAGAAGUGUUUAUUAAUGAAUUAUGAACUUAUGGCAUCU